This 401-nucleotide ribosomal RNA is filed under the name uncultured microorganism. RNAcentral's name for it is "bacterial SSU rRNA". It matches the Rfam family "Bacterial small subunit ribosomal RNA", at positions 9 to 409 of the family's 1533-position model. The record is from RNAcentral.
GAGUUUGAUCGUGGCUCAGGAUGAACGCUGGCGGCGUGCUUAACACAUGCAAGUCGAACGAUGAUCCCAGCUUGCUGGGGGAUUAGUGGCGAACGGGUGAGUAACACGUGAGUAACCUGCCCUUGACUCUGGGGAUAAGCCUGGGAAACUGGGUCUAAUACCGGAUAUGACCUUCCAUCGCAUGGUGGUUGGUGGAGAGCUUUUGUGGCUUUGGAUGGACUCGCGGCCUAUCAGCUUGUUGGUGAGGUAAUGGCUUACCAAGGCGACGACGGGUAGCCGGCCUGAGAGGGUGACCGGCCACACUGGGACUGAGACACGGCCCAGACUCCUACGGGAGGCAGCAGUGGGGAAGUAUUGCACAAUGGGCGGCAAGCCUGAUGCAGCGACGCCGCGUGAGGGAU